This 596-nucleotide small RNA is filed under the name Histoplasma capsulatum var. duboisii H88. Its description in RNAcentral is "Histoplasma capsulatum H88 hypothetical RNA". The record is from RNAcentral. Lineage: Eukaryota; Fungi; Ascomycota; Eurotiomycetes; Onygenales; Ajellomycetaceae.
CCUCAGGGUUGAUCGGCACUCGGGAAGCAGGAGGCAAACUCCCCUUCCAUGAACUAAGAGGAUCAAAUGUGAAAUUCCUGUCAUGAGGUACAGCCUGGGAUGGUUGAAAUUGUGAAGGCUGCGGUUUAAUCCAGCCGAAGUGGAGGCAGUGUCGAACUCCCAUGUUGAUGACCAUGUAUCUUCACAUCCGGAUAUUUUUAAUCCCCCAGCCGUCCGAGUGACCAGCUAAUUCGAAGGCAUCCAAGCCUCCUUCUCUAUGUCAAUGUACAGGUACAUGUACAUGUACAUAGGUUACAUAUACAAACCUGAUACCGAAUGCAGUGGCUCGUCACGCUACCCAUUUUAUGAGCUACUAUCCUAGCUCGAUGGCCACGAAGACACCAAAGACCAACCCACGAAGGGAAAAGGGUCCAGAUCUUCUGUGACAUAUCUCAAUCUCUACUCGCAGAUCAUGGCUGCGUUGUCAGCCACUCGCGCCAUGGCCGUUGUUGUGUACAGGUUGAACCACGGUUCACCCAUUUUCUGCCAAAUCUCUUUCGUUACUUUUCUUUCUUUCUAUUUUAAUUAUACGCUGCUUCAAAUAAAAGGUUGGACAG